UUGACCUCGGAUCAGGUAGGGAUACCCGCUGAACUUAAGCAUAUCAAUAAGCGGAGGAACACUAGUGAUUCCGGCCGCUGCGGUCGACAUAUGG
Molecule: ribosomal RNA, 94 nt
Filed under: uncultured fungus
Lineage: Eukaryota; Fungi
Description: partial 28S ribosomal RNA
Source: RNAcentral